ACGCUGGCGGCGUGCCUAAUACAUGCAAGUAGAACGCUGAAGCUUGGUGCUUGCACCGAGCGGAUGAGUUGCGAACGGGUGAGUAACGCGUAGGUAACCUGCCUCUUAGCGGGGGAUAACUAUUGGAAACGAUAGCUAAUACCGCAUAAAAGACGAUAUCGCAUGAUAUUGAUUUGAAAGGUGCAAAUGCAUCACUAAGAGAUGGACCUGCGUUGUAUUAGCUAGUUGGUGAGGUAACGGCUCACCAAGGCAACGAUACAUAGCCGACCUGAGAGGGUGAUCGGCCACACUGGGACUGAGACACGGCCCAGACUCCUACGGGAGGCAGCAGUAGGGAAUCUUCGGCAAUGGGGGCAACCCUGACCGAGCAACGCCGCGUGAGUGAAGAAGGUUUUCGGAUCGUAAAGCUCUGUUGUAAGAGAAGAACGAGUGUGAGAGUGGAAAGUUCACACUGUGACGGUAACUUACCAGAAAGGGACGGCUAACUACGUGCCAGCAGCCGCGGUAAUACGUGGUCCCGAGCGUUAUCCGGAUUUAUUGGGCGUAAAGCGAGCGCAGGCGGUUAGAUAAGUCUGAAGUUAAAGGCUGUGGCUUAACCAUAGUACGCUUUGGAAACUGUUUAACUUGAGUGCAGAAGGGGAGAGUGGAAUUCCAUGUGUAGCGGUGAAAUGCGUAGAUAUAUGGAGGAACACCGGUGGCGAAAGCGGCUCUCUGGUCUGUAACUGACGCUGAGGCUCGAAAGCGUGGGGAGCAAACAGGAUUAGAUACCCUGGUAGUCCACGCCGUAAACGAUGAGUGCUAGGUGUUGGGUCCUUUCCGGGACUCAGUGCCGCAGCUAACGCAUUAAGCACUCCGCCUGGGGAGUACGACCGCAAGGUUGAAACUCAAAGGAAUUGACGGGGGCCCGCA
Molecule: ribosomal RNA, 909 nt
Filed under: uncultured bacterium
Lineage: Bacteria
Description: bacterial SSU rRNA
Rfam family: Bacterial small subunit ribosomal RNA
Source: RNAcentral